GAUGAACGCUGGCGGAGUGCCUAAUACAUGCAAGUCGAGCGAACGGACGAGAAGCUUGCUUCUCUGAUGUUAGCGGCGGACGGGUGAGUAACACGUGGAUAACCUACCUAUAAGACUGGGAUAACUUCGGGAAACCGGAGCUAAUACCGGAUGAUAUUUUGAACCGCAUGGUUCAAAAGUGAAAGACGGUCUUGCUGUCACUUAUAGAUGGAUCCGCGCUGCAUUAGCUAGUUGGUAAGGUAACGGCUUACCAAGGCAACGAUGCAUAGCCGACCUGAGAGGGUGAUUCGCCACACUGGAACUUGGACACGGGUCAAGAUCCUACGGGAGGCAGCAGUAGGGAAUCUUCCGGAAUGGGCGAAAGCCUGACGGAGCAACGCCGCGUGAGUGAUGAAGGUCUUCGGAUCGUAAAACUCUGUUAUUAGGGAAGAACAUAUGUGUAAGUAACUGUGCACAUCUUGACGGUACCUAAUCAGAAAGCCACGGCUAACUACGUG
This 497-nucleotide ribosomal RNA is filed under the name uncultured bacterium. RNAcentral describes it as "partial 16S ribosomal RNA". It matches the Rfam family "Bacterial small subunit ribosomal RNA", at positions 28 to 507 of the family's 1533-position model. The record is from RNAcentral.